RNAcentral lists this transfer RNA (86 nucleotides) under Candidatus Nealsoniibacteriota bacterium. RNAcentral describes it as "Candidatus Nealsonbacteria bacterium tRNA-Ser". It matches the Rfam family "tRNA". Rfam says of the family: Transfer RNA (tRNA) molecules are approximately 80 nucleotides in length. Their secondary structure includes four short double-helical elements and three loops (D, anti-codon, and T loops). Further hydrogen bonds mediate the characteristic L-shaped molecular structure. tRNAs have two regions of fundamental functional importance: the anti-codon, which is responsible for specific mRNA codon recognition, and the 3' end, to which the tRNAs corresponding amino acid is attached (by aminoacyl-tRNA synthetases). tRNAs cope with the degeneracy of the genetic code in two manners: having more than one tRNA (with a specific anti-codon) for a particular amino acid; and 'wobble' base-pairing, i.e. permitting non-standard base-pairing at the 3rd anti-codon position. The record is from RNAcentral. Lineage: Bacteria; Candidatus Nealsoniibacteriota.
GGUGGGGUGUACCGAACGGCAAGGUGCCGCUCUCGAAAAGCGGAGGGCUAACGCCCGUGCGAGUUCAAAUCUCGCCCCCACCGCCA